CAGGCCUAAAAAAGCAAGUCGAGCGCCCCGCAAGGGGAGCGGCUGACGGUGUUUACCACACGUGGGAACGAUAGACCUUCAGUUCGGAACAACCCAGGGAAACUUGGGCUGAUACCGGAUACGUCCGUAAGGAGAAAGAUUUAUCGCUGAAGGAUCGGCCCGCGUCUGAUUAGCUAGUUGGUGGGGUAACGGCCCACCAAGGCGACGAUCAGUAGCUGGUCUGAGAGGAUGAUCACCCUCACUGGGACUGAGACACGGCUCAGACUCCUACGGGAGGCAGCAGUGGG
Molecule: ribosomal RNA, 287 nt
Filed under: uncultured Hyphomicrobiales bacterium
Lineage: Bacteria; Pseudomonadati; Pseudomonadota; Alphaproteobacteria; Hyphomicrobiales
Description: uncultured Rhizobiales bacterium partial 16S ribosomal RNA
Rfam family: Bacterial small subunit ribosomal RNA
Source: RNAcentral